ACGCUGGCGGCAGGCCUAACACAUGCAAGUCGAGCGGCAGCGGGAAGUAGCUUGCUACUUUGCCGGCGAGCGGCGGACGGGUGAGUAAUGUCUGGGAAACUGCCUGAUGGAGGGGGAUAACUACUGGAAACGGUAGCUAAUACCGCAUGACGUCGCAAGACCAAAGUGGGGGACCUUCGGGCCUCACGCCAUCGGAUGUGCCCAGAUGGGAUUAGCUAGUAGGUGAGGUAAUGGCUCACCUAGGCGACGAUCCCUAGCUGGUCUGAGAGGAUGACCAGCCACACUGGAACUGAGACACGGUCCAGACUCCUACGGGAGGCAGCAGUGGGGAAUAUUGCACAAUGGGCGCAAGCCUGAUGCAGCCAUGCCGCGUGUGUGAAGAAGGCCUUAGGGUUGUAAAGCACUUUCAGCGAGGAGGAAGGCGUUGUAGUUAAUAGCUGCAACGAUUGACGUUACUCGCAGAAGAAGCACCGGCUAACUCCGUGCCAGCAGCCGCGGUAAUACGGAGGGUGCAAGCGUUAAUCGGAAUUACUGGGCGUAAAGCGCACGCAGGCGGUUUGUUAAGUCAGAUGUGUAAUCCCCGAGCUUAACUUGGGAACUGCAUUUGAAA
RNAcentral lists this ribosomal RNA (610 nucleotides) under uncultured bacterium. RNAcentral describes it as "bacterial SSU rRNA". It matches the Rfam family "Bacterial small subunit ribosomal RNA", at positions 33 to 632 of the family's 1533-position model. The record is from RNAcentral.